GGCUCGGUAGUGGAUGGUCCACAUCUGCGUCCAAUAGUCCAGGGCUCUUGUUCUAUGCAGCAGAGUAAGCCUGUUCGAUUCAGGCCUGAGCCC
Mycena rosella is the source of this 93-nucleotide non-coding RNA. Lineage: Eukaryota; Fungi; Basidiomycota; Agaricomycetes; Agaricales; Mycenaceae. The record is from the annotation of a GenBank genome assembly.